Molecule: ribosomal RNA, 497 nt
Filed under: uncultured bacterium
Lineage: Bacteria
Description: partial 16S ribosomal RNA
Rfam family: Bacterial small subunit ribosomal RNA
Source: RNAcentral
GACGAACGCUGGCGGCGUGCCUAAUACAUGCAAGUUGAGCGCUGAAGGUUGGUACUUGUACCAACUGGAUGAGCAGCGAACGGGUGAGUAACGCGUGGGGAAUCUGCCUUUGAGCGGGGGACAACAUUUGGAAACGAAUGCUAGUACCGCAUAAAAACUUUAAACACAAGUUUUAAGUUUGAAAGAUGCAAUUGCAUCACUCAAAGAUGAUCCCGCGUUGUAUUAGCUAGUUGGUGAGGUAAAGGCUCACCAAGGCGGUGAUACAUAGCCGACCUGAGAGGGUGAUCGGCCACAUUGGGACUGAGACACGGCCCAAACUCCUACGGGAGGCAGCAGUAGGGAAUCUUCGGCAAUGGACGAAAGUCUGACCGAGCAACGCCGCGUGAGUGAAGAAGGUUUUCGGAUCGUAAAACUCUGUUGGUAGAGAAGAACGUUGGUGAGAGUGGAAAGCUCAUCAAGUGACGGUAACUACCCAGAAAGGGACGGCUAACUACGUG